CUUCUGUGAAAAGAAAGCUAAAUUUGCAAGAGUGAACCAGGAAUCUACUGACUUGAGCUCAAACAAGGGAACUGCAUGGACAGCAGAGGUGGGAAUGAGCUGGUGGUUGACAAGAUACUUUGGCCAGAGGUAGAAAAUGGUUUCAUUCAGCUUUCAGGCGAUGGCCGCUGAGGUUGCUCAAAGUAUCUUUGGUCAGCGUCCUUCCUUAUGUUCUGACUGUGACCCUCAAAGGAAGGAAGUUACCAGCACAACAUGCGUUUGCAUCCAGAAAUUUCAAAAUCAGCAGAAGGUAAAGUUUACAGUUUUUUGUCCACUGCUUCUACCAAAACAUAUCUGUAGUAAACGCAGACAAACCUCUUCAGCUGUUGACUCUGCCAGCUCCUUAGAACAAACAUUUCUUCAAAUUUCAUGUGAACAUAAAAGUCUCACCAAUAAUGUUGAAAAGCAAGGAAUUUCCUUAGCAGUUUCUGCUCAUAGCACGGCAGAAUAUUUGAGACUGUAUUUUAUAACUUUACACAAUCCACAGACACACCAACUUUCUAGAAAAUGGUCAUCAUUUUAAUGCACAAUUAAUUUGAUUGUGAUUUUGAACUGCUGGUCAUCGGUCUCUCUACUGGUGUUACACAGGACACAUGCCUCCUGGUCUGUGAGUCCAUUUCACUCAUUACUCAUGCUUAGCAAAGACACGCAGCAGCUUCUGUUUCUGAGACAAAGCAGAAAUAAACUAUACUUGUAUGUAUUUUGUGAUGGAAGA
Molecule: long non-coding RNA, 754 nt
Filed under: Phasianus colchicus (ring-necked pheasant)
Lineage: Eukaryota; Metazoa; Chordata; Aves; Galliformes; Phasianidae
Description: lncRNA (ENSPCLG00000018226.1)
Source: RNAcentral